Molecule: long non-coding RNA, 462 nt
Filed under: Cucumis sativus (cucumber)
Lineage: Eukaryota; Viridiplantae; Streptophyta; Magnoliopsida; Cucurbitales; Cucurbitaceae
Description: long non-coding RNA (CSAT_LNC000657)
Source: RNAcentral
UGUCUGCUUUCUCUCAUUGUGGGAGAGAAGUUUGUAUUUGGAGGAGGGUGCCACCUCUGAUCACGAAUUUGGGGUUCUGAUCGGAGUGAAUCUCUAGCUCCUCGGCUGUAGCGGUCAGUUACAUUUGGUGGUUGGAAACGGUUCAUAGGUUCGCGAAUCUGGGGUUCUGAUCGGAGUGAAUCUCUAGCACCUUGGCUGUAGCGGUCUGUUGCAUUUGGUGGUUGGAAACGGUUCACAGGUUCGCGAAUCUGGGGUCCUGAUCGGAGUGAAUCUCUAGCACCUUGGCUAUUUGGUGGUUGGAAAUGGUUCAUAGGUUCAAUCUUUUUGGGUCUAUUAUCGGUUUUGAUGGAAGAAUCUUGUUGAAAGAGUGGAACUGAGCUGGUUCUACCAGAAUCAGGAACAUCCCUGUCUGAAACAACAUUCAUUUUCUUAGUAGCCGUUGUUGAGGUAAUCACAUUUCUA